CGCUUAUUGAAACCAUCAGCAGGAGGAGUUUGGAUAAAGCUGAAGUUCCACUUAGGCGCUCGGUGAUCCAUCUGGGAAGACAGUGGCCACAGCCCAACAGGAGGCCGGGGAACCUGGACCCCACCAGCCAAGCUUUGAGAAGCAGAUAGGCUUGAAUGAGCAUGGAAUGUAUCUAUUUAAAAAGCAGCUGGAAGUCUGUCAAGUGCAUUCUGGAAAUGGAUUCAGGCUAACAGAGUGUUCUGAAUAGAGACGCCUAAAACAAGAGCCAAAGACAUAGCAAUGGAGAACGUGGGUGGUACAGCCCUCCACCCUGGCGAGCAGCACAUUAGAAUCACGUAGGAGCUUAAAAAGUACUGACUGGCCUGGUCUUUUUCGGUGUGAAGGUGGGAUGCAGGCUUCCUGGGGUUAUCCUCUCGUACAGCCAGAGUUGAGAACCAUCUGAGUAGCGCUUGUCACACUUCUGGCCACAUCAGAAUCGUCUGAGGGACUUGUUCACUGCAGGUUGCUGGGUCCCAUCUCUAGCCUCUGAUCCAGUAGCCUGGGGUGGGGCACAGGAUGUCCUGCUGCUGGGGUCUGGGCAGCGCUAUGAGAACUGCUGACGUUGGAGCUCGAUCAGGUGGUCCCUCACUCCCUGACCCAGGGCAUUUGCUGCUUCCUGUCUCUGCCAUUCUUUUCUCAACCUGGGGCACUUGCUUUUCUCGCUAUGCUGCCCUG
This 714-nucleotide long non-coding RNA is filed under the name Homo sapiens (human). RNAcentral's name for it is "non-protein coding LINC01127:26". The record is from RNAcentral. Lineage: Eukaryota; Metazoa; Chordata; Mammalia; Primates; Hominidae.